RNAcentral lists this ribosomal RNA (429 nucleotides) under Pseudomonadota bacterium. RNAcentral describes it as "Proteobacteria bacterium partial 16S ribosomal RNA". It matches the Rfam family "Bacterial small subunit ribosomal RNA", at positions 355 to 776 of the family's 1533-position model. The record is from RNAcentral. Lineage: Bacteria; Pseudomonadati; Pseudomonadota.
UGGGGAAUAUUGGACAAUGGGCGAAAGCCUGAUCCAGCCAUGCCGCGUGUGUGAAGAAGGUCUUCGGAUUGUAAAGCACUUUAAGUUGGGAGGAAGGGCAGUAAGCGAAUACCUUGCUGUUUUGACGUUACCGACAGAAUAAGCACCGGCUAACUCUGUGCCAGCAGCCGCGGUAAUACAGAGGGUGCAAGCGUUAAUCGGAUUUACUGGGCGUAAAGCGCGCGUAGGUGGUUCGUUAAGUUGAAUGUGAAAGCCCCGGGCUCAACCUGGGAACUGCAUCCAAAACUGGCGAGCUAGAGUAGGGCAGAGGGUGGUGGAAUUUCCUGUGUAGCGGUGAAAUGCGUAGAUAUAGGAAGGAACACAAGUGGCGAAGGCGACCACCUGGGCUCAUACUGACACUGAGGUGCGAAAGCGUGGGGAGCAAACAGG